This 283-nucleotide long non-coding RNA is filed under the name Nicotiana benthamiana. Its description in RNAcentral is "long non-coding RNA (NBEN_LNC011728)". Lineage: Eukaryota; Viridiplantae; Streptophyta; Magnoliopsida; Solanales; Solanaceae. The record is from RNAcentral.
GGCCGAUAUGUAUAAACAGGACCCCAACUUCAGGGUGGUCCGUGAGGGCCUCGUGCAAUCUGAGGAGUAGUUGAGGAAGCGAGUGGCAGAGUUGGAGAAGGUCGAUGAAUAGCUCAUGGCCGCUAUUGCUCGGACUGCGGAAAUGGAGGUCCUCCUUCAAGCUAAGGAUGAAGAGUGCAGCUCAGCCGCGUAGUGGCAGAGGAGGCAGAAGAAUUGCGUACCCGGGUCGCGGCCUUAACGGAGGAGUUUGAUGCCAAAAAGGCCGAAGUUGAGGAUCUCAAGC